UGUUUGACAGCAUUGAGAAGUAUGGUAUGUUUAUAUUCCAGUACAAAGGAUUGCUUAGCAUGAACAUAAUUAUAUGCUCCAAUUCAUAUGACUCAUGUUAGAACAUGUAAUUUACCAGUCUUCUUGUCAAAUCAUGAUUUGACGCUUUUAUGGCUAGUUUGAUCAGCAAAUAGAAGAAUUUUAAUUUUUCUAGCAAUAUGUUAGAAGCUUCUCUUGAUUAUAUUGCCACUGGCACAUAUAAUGUAUCUGGAAUGGUUGAUUAAGAAGCAUAACUAUGAGAAUCUGUUGCUUAGCUUUCUAUUCCACUUUGAAUAUCAACUUAAGGAUUAUUUAUAGUGAUGCUAGAUUGAUAGGAUCUUGCUUGUACUCUUUGGAUCAGACCGUUUAUGUUUGGGUUUGUCUCUCUCUGAUUUUGUGGAAUGCCUUGUGGGACCAAACUAUUCAAUGGAAUCUAAUACAAACUUUAUUUGCAUCUUAGUCCUACUGGCUAGGGUGAGCUGUGAGCAUGGUUUGGGUAACUGAAUUGUGACCCCAAUUUUUUGAAUUCAGUUCACAUGAAUUGUAAUCUGAAGCCGGCCCCAUCAGACCAGUUUGGUUUCAAUCUGUUUUGGGUUUUAAAUAACGGCCGUUAUAUUACGUAGCGGCUAUUAUUUAUGGGUUUUUCAAGGGGCUGUUACCCUUUAUCUCAUUAUUUAA
Molecule: unclassified non-coding RNA, 696 nt
Filed under: Hevea brasiliensis (rubber tree)
Lineage: Eukaryota; Viridiplantae; Streptophyta; Magnoliopsida; Malpighiales; Euphorbiaceae
Source: RNAcentral